UGAUUUUAUGUGCAUCGAAUUAGUAAUGAAAUGAUUUACCGUAGUUUCACUUUCAUUGUUCACAUUCUUUUUCUUGAAAUAACCAGUACACGUACAAUGCAUGCGUUGUCAAUCUCUAGCUAGGGGUUAAAUUGAAGUUCACAUGAAUACGGAUUUAAAGAGGUCAACUCAUUCACUUGCAAGUGAAUAACUAAUUAUCAAUGUUUCU
RNAcentral lists this long non-coding RNA (208 nucleotides) under Mytilus galloprovincialis (Mediterranean mussel). Lineage: Eukaryota; Metazoa; Mollusca; Bivalvia; Mytilida; Mytilidae. The record is from RNAcentral.